GUUUGAGGCGUGGAAUUCCAGUCUGAAUGAUUGCUCUAAAAUCUCGCUCGUCGGAGAUGUGAGGCGAAUUCUGAUGCCUGAUCCCUGCUUGGAUGAGGAUCCGUCGACGUGGAGGAGCCAAGUGGAAUUUGGUUCCUCGUUGGUCGUGGUCUCUGCUGGUAGUUCGACCAAGAAGUCUGCAAGUACUUGUGAUUUUGCGC
This 200-nucleotide long non-coding RNA is filed under the name Brassica napus (rape). Its description in RNAcentral is "long non-coding RNA (BNAP_LNC023525)". The record is from RNAcentral. Lineage: Eukaryota; Viridiplantae; Streptophyta; Magnoliopsida; Brassicales; Brassicaceae.